CUAGGUUGGGGGGUAGGUGAAGGUGGGGGGUUCUAUUUUGGAAGAGGAAUAGAAUCUCAUUCAUGUGUUCAUGCUAACAGAAGAGCGGAUCCAAUACACAUAAGACUCUUUUAUCUUGAAAUUCCGAAUGUAAAUGAUUCAAACCGUUGAAGUAUUUUCUUACCUGUUGUAUAGAAGUCUUCGUUUCAGUCCUCCUAGUGGCCAUUGCUCCUAGUAUGAGUAGUUGUGAUGGGCUGCGAGUUCCCCUUGAGGGGGUGACGAGCCUUUAGCAUCCAGAUUGGGCAAUACGAGAUAGAUUGAUUUACUUCGAGGAUAGUCUUUCUUUUCCAAGCGAGAAAGUGCAAGUGUUUCUAUUUUCACAAGUGAAGAUAUUGAAAAGCAUAUCCGAAAGCAAAGAAAUAUUACCUGGGCGUACGUAGCCCUUCUUGUUUUUGAAUCACGGAAAUGCGGAGG
Molecule: long non-coding RNA, 453 nt
Filed under: Oryza brachyantha (malo sina)
Lineage: Eukaryota; Viridiplantae; Streptophyta; Magnoliopsida; Poales; Poaceae
Description: long non-coding RNA (OBRA_LNC003519)
Source: RNAcentral